Molecule: ribosomal RNA, 497 nt
Filed under: uncultured bacterium
Lineage: Bacteria
Description: partial 16S ribosomal RNA
Rfam family: Bacterial small subunit ribosomal RNA
Source: RNAcentral
GAUGAACGCUGGCGGCGUGCCUAAUACAUGCGAGUCGAGCGAACGGACGAGAAGCUUGCUUUUCUGAUGUUAGCGGCGGACGGGUGAGUAACACGUGGAUAACCUACCUAUAAGACUGGGAUAACUUCGGGAAACCGGAGCUAAUACCGGAUAAUAUUUUGAACCGCAUGGUUCAAAAGCGAAAGACGGUCUUGCUGUCACUUAUAGAUGGAUCCGCGCUGCAUUAGCUAGUUGGUAAGGUAACGGCUUACCAAGGCAACGAUGCAUAGCCGACCUGAGAGGGUGAUCGGCCACACUGGAACUGAGACACGGUCCAGACUCCUACGGGAGGCAGCAGUAGGGAAUCUUCCGCAAUGGGCGAAAGCCUGACGGAGCAACGCCGCGUGAGUGAUGAAGGUCUUCGGAUCGUAAAACUCUGUUAUUAGGGAAGAACAUAUGUGUAAGUAACUGUGCACAUCUUGACGGUACCUAAUCAGAAAGCCACGGCUAACUACGUG